AUGCUGUCUGGUCAAGGGAGAACUAUGUCUUCAAGUAGACACUUGGCUAUUAUGACUCUUACGAGGAAAAGCAAGUACAAUGAUUACUGCAGGUGCUGUGCUUUGAAAUCCCAAGGGCACCCAUUCACCUCUCCUGCCUGAGGACCACUUCAGUGGAGAAGCCCUACUAUAAGCCAUCUUAAACCAGACCUACAUCUUAAACCAGACCUACAAUUAGUAAGUAAUACCUUCUUAGUGAUUCACUGACAUCCAAUUGAGAAUGGAAAGAGGUCAUUAAAUGGG
This 282-nucleotide long non-coding RNA is filed under the name Mustela putorius furo (domestic ferret). RNAcentral's name for it is "lncRNA (ENSMPUG00000024236.1)". The record is from RNAcentral. Lineage: Eukaryota; Metazoa; Chordata; Mammalia; Carnivora; Mustelidae.